This 492-nucleotide ribosomal RNA is filed under the name uncultured bacterium. RNAcentral describes it as "partial 16S ribosomal RNA". It matches the Rfam family "Bacterial small subunit ribosomal RNA", at positions 29 to 507 of the family's 1533-position model. The record is from RNAcentral.
AGUGAACGCUGGCGGUAGGCCUAACACAUGCAAGUCGAACGGCAGCACAGUAAGGGCUUGCUCUUACGGGUGGCGAGUGGCGGACGGGUGCGGAAUACAUCGGAAUCUACUUUUUCGUGGGGGAUAACGUAGGGAAACUUACGCUAAUACCGCAUACGACCUACGGGUGAAAGCAGGGGAACUUCUGACCUUGCGCGAUUGAAUGAGCCGAUGUCGGAUUAGCUAGUUGGCGGGGUAAAGGCCCACCAAGGCGACGAUCCGUAGCUGGUCUGAGAGGAUGAUCAGCCACACUGGAACUGAGACACGGUCCAGACUCCUACGGGAGGCAGCAGUGGGGAAUAUUGGACAAUGGGCGCAAGCCUGAUCCAGCCAUACCGCGUGGGUGAAGAAGGCCUUCGGGUUGUAAAGCCCUUUUGUUGGGAAAGAAAAGCAGCAGGUUAAUACCCCGCUGUUCUGACGGUACCCGAAGAAUAAGCACCGGCUAACUUCGUG